RNAcentral lists this unclassified non-coding RNA (329 nucleotides) under soil metagenome. RNAcentral describes it as "partial contains 5.8S ribosomal RNA, internal transcribed spacer 2, and large subunit ribosomal RNA". The stretch from base 1 to 120 matches the Rfam family "5.8S ribosomal RNA", at positions 35 to 154 of the family's 154-position model. The record is from RNAcentral.
GAUGAAGAACGUAGCGAAAUGCGACAAGUAAUGUGGAUUGCAGAAUUCCGUGAAUCAUCGAAUCUUUGAACGCACAUUGCGCCCCUUGGUAUUCCGAGGGGCAUGCCUGUUCGAGCGUCAUUAUAACCCCUCAAGCUCAGCUUGGUGUUGGGGCCUGCUGCACUGGCAGCCCUUAAAAUCAGUGGCGGCGCCAUCUGGCUCUAAGCGUAGUAAUUCUUCUCGCUAUGGAGUCCUGGUGGAUGCUUGCCAUCAACCCCCAAUUUUUCUAUGGUUGACCUCGGAUCAGGUAGGGAUACCCGCUGAACUUAAGCAUAUCAAUAAGCGGAGGA